Molecule: ribosomal RNA, 1555 nt
Filed under: Staphylococcus aureus
Lineage: Bacteria; Bacillati; Bacillota; Bacilli; Caryophanales; Staphylococcaceae
Description: 16S ribosomal RNA
Rfam family: Bacterial small subunit ribosomal RNA
Source: RNAcentral
UUUAUGGAGAGUUUGAUCCUGGCUCAGGAUGAACGCUGGCGGCGUGCCUAAUACAUGCAAGUCGAGCGAACGGACGAGAAGCUUGCUUCUCUGAUGUUAGCGGCGGACGGGUGAGUAACACGUGGAUAACCUACCUAUAAGACUGGGAUAACUUCGGGAAACCGGAGCUAAUACCGGAUAAUAUUUUGAACCGCAUGGUUCAAAAGUGAAAGACGGUCUUGCUGUCACUUAUAGAUGGAUCCGCGCUGCAUUAGCUAGUUGGUAAGGUAACGGCUUACCAAGGCAACGAUGCAUAGCCGACCUGAGAGGGUGAUCGGCCACACUGGAACUGAGACACGGUCCAGACUCCUACGGGAGGCAGCAGUAGGGAAUCUUCCGCAAUGGGCGAAAGCCUGACGGAGCAACGCCGCGUGAGUGAUGAAGGUCUUCGGAUCGUAAAACUCUGUUAUUAGGGAAGAACAUAUGUGUAAGUAACUGUGCACAUCUUGACGGUACCUAAUCAGAAAGCCACGGCUAACUACGUGCCAGCAGCCGCGGUAAUACGUAGGUGGCAAGCGUUAUCCGGAAUUAUUGGGCGUAAAGCGCGCGUAGGCGGUUUUUUUAAGUCUGAUGUGAAAGCCCACGGCUCAACCGUGGAGGGUCAUUGGAAACUGGAAAACUUGAGUGCAGAAGAGGAAAGUGGAAUUCCAUGUGUAGCGGUGAAAUGCGCAGAGAUAUGGAGGAACACCAGUGGCGAAGGCGACUUUCUGGUCUGUAACUGACGCUGAUGUGCGAAAGCGUGGGGAUCAAACAGGAUUAGAUACCCUGGUAGUCCACGCCGUAAACGAUGAGUGCUAAGUGUUAGGGGGUUUCCGCCCCUUAGUGCUGCAGCUAACGCAUUAAGCACUCCGCCUGGGGAGUACGACCGCAAGGUUGAAACUCAAAGGAAUUGACGGGGACCCGCACAAGCGGUGGAGCAUGUGGUUUAAUUCGAAGCAACGCGAAGAACCUUACCAAAUCUUGACAUCCUUUGACAACUCUAGAGAUAGAGCUUUCCCCUUCGGGGGACAAAGUGACAGGUGGUGCAUGGUUGUCGUCAGCUCGUGUCGUGAGAUGUUGGGUUAAGUCCCGCAACGAGCGCAACCCUUAAGCUUAGUUGCCAUCAUUAAGUUGGGCACUCUAAGUUGACUGCCGGUGACAAACCGGAGGAAGGUGGGGAUGACGUCAAAUCAUCAUGCCCCUUAUGAUUUGGGCUACACACGUGCUACAAUGGACAAUACAAAGGGCAGCGAAACCGCGAGGUCAAGCAAAUCCCAUAAAGUUGUUCUCAGUUCGGAUUGUAGUCUGCAACUCGACUACAUGAAGCUGGAAUCGCUAGUAAUCGUAGAUCAGCAUGCUACGGUGAAUACGUUCCCGGGUCUUGUACACACCGCCCGUCACACCACGAGAGUUUGUAACACCCGAAGCCGGUGGAGUAACCUUUUAGGAGCUAGCCGUCGAAGGUGGGACAAAUGAUUGGGGUGAAGUCGUAACAAGGUAGCCGUAUCGGAAGGUGCGGCUGGAUCACCUCCUUUCU